GAUGAACGCUGGCGGCGUGCCUAAUACAUGCAAGUCGAGCGAACAGACGAGGAGCUUGCUCCUCUGACGUUAGCGGCGGACGGGUGAGUAACACGUGGAUAACCUACCUAUAAGACUGGGAUAACUUCGGGAAACCGGCGCUAAUACCGGAUAAUAUAUUGAACAGCAUGGUUCAAUAGUGAAAGACGGUUUUGCUGUCACUUAUAGAUGGAUCCGCGCCGCAUUAGCUAGUUGGUAAGGUAACGGCUUACCAAGGCAACGAUGCGUAGCCGACCUGAGAGGGCGGUCGGCCACACUGGAACUGAUACGCCGUCCAGACUCCUACGGGAGGCAGCAGUAGGGAAUCUUCCGCAAUGGGCGCAAGCCUGACGGAGCAACGGCGCGGGAGUGAUGAAGGUCUUCGGAUCGUAAAGCGCUGUUAUUAGGGAAGAACAAAUGUGUAAGUAACUAUGCGCGUCUUGACGGUACCUAAUCAGAAAGCCACGGCUAACUACGUG
Molecule: ribosomal RNA, 497 nt
Filed under: uncultured bacterium
Lineage: Bacteria
Description: partial 16S ribosomal RNA
Rfam family: Bacterial small subunit ribosomal RNA
Source: RNAcentral